GACAGAGGGUGCAAACGUUGCUCGGAAUUACUGGGCGUAAAGCGCGUGUAGGCGGACCGGAAAGUCGGGCGUGAAAUCCCUGGGCUCAACCCAGGAACUGCACUCGGAACUUCCGGCCUUGAGUGGUGGAGAGGGUAGUGGAAUUCCUGGUGUAGCGGUGAAAUGCGCAGAUAUCAGGAAGAACACCCGUGGCGAAGGCGGCUCUCUGGGACGGUACUGACGCUGAGACGCGAAAGCGUGGGGAGCGAACAGG
Molecule: ribosomal RNA, 253 nt
Filed under: uncultured bacterium
Lineage: Bacteria
Description: partial 16S ribosomal RNA
Rfam family: Bacterial small subunit ribosomal RNA
Source: RNAcentral